This 65-nucleotide transfer RNA is filed under the name Dipodomys ordii (Ord's kangaroo rat). It matches the Rfam family "tRNA". Rfam says of the family: Transfer RNA (tRNA) molecules are approximately 80 nucleotides in length. Their secondary structure includes four short double-helical elements and three loops (D, anti-codon, and T loops). The record is from Rfam by way of RNAcentral. Lineage: Eukaryota; Metazoa; Chordata; Mammalia; Rodentia; Heteromyidae.
GGUGGCUCAGUGGUAGAGUGUUUGCCUUGCAUGCAUGAAGCCCUGGGUUCAAUUCCUCAGUACCA